Molecule: long non-coding RNA, 390 nt
Organism: Quercus robur (English oak)
Lineage: Eukaryota; Viridiplantae; Streptophyta; Magnoliopsida; Fagales; Fagaceae
Exons: 2
Source: RefSeq, a predicted model, not a curated record
AGGUUGGCAAAGGGUUGUAUCAAGACGCUAAGGCACAAAAACUAGCUUUCCAACAUUGGAUUGAAGCUAUUGAUCCAAGACAUCGUUAUGGUCAUAAUCUCAACUUUUACUACGAAGAGUGGGGUAAAGGUGAUACAGAGCAGCCAUUUUUUCAUUGGUACACAAACUUCUCUUGGUUGAUUCUUUGAUUUUUCUGCCUCUAGUGCUAUAUGGGCCCACAAAUAUCUGCACUAUGUUUCCUCUUUUCACCCCCUUCUUCAGAAUUGUUAUCUGUAGAAUCCAGUAUCUUAAUUGUAUUUUGGGGACAAAUUUACGAUAACCUUUUAACAACAAUAAUGUAGAGGGCAAAUAUUGUCUAAGGAAAACGAUAUAGUGCCUCCAAAUUAUCUA